RNAcentral lists this long non-coding RNA (528 nucleotides) under Phaseolus vulgaris (common bean). Its description in RNAcentral is "long non-coding RNA (PVUL_LNC000052)". The record is from RNAcentral. Lineage: Eukaryota; Viridiplantae; Streptophyta; Magnoliopsida; Fabales; Fabaceae.
GGACUGAGUGUUAGACACAGUACCAUUAGCACGAGGCUGCUGCACGAGCCGAGAGGCAGGUUCCAGCAAUGGGGCUGCACGACCAAGGCCGGCUGGAAGAACAGGAGUGGGCCCAGCAGCAGCAGAAUUUUCAGAUGAAGGAAGAAUAGGUCGAGGCCCUGCAGCAGCAGAAUUUUUAAAUGAAGGAAGAACAGGUCGAGGCCCAGCAACAGCAGAAUUUUCAGAUGAAGGAAGAACAGGUCGAGGCCCAGCAGAAUUUUCAGAUGAAGGAAAAACAGGUCGAGGCCCAGCACCAGUUGAAUUUUCCGAUGAAGGAAGAAGAGGUCGAGGCCCAGCAGCAGAAGAAUUUUCAGUUGAAGAAGAAAUAUCUGCUGAAGGUUGAACAGGUUGCUCUCCAGUCUCUUGUGUGGUUUCUGUCUCUUGAAUAAUCUUUUCUUGUGUCCUUUCAGGCUCUUCAACCACAAAAGAGUUGUCAUCAUCUCUCUGAUUUUCAUCUGAAAUCUGAGAUUGAUCAUCCUUAUUACUUCC